Eriocheir sinensis (Chinese mitten crab) is the source of this 2236-nucleotide long non-coding RNA. RefSeq lists it as uncharacterized. Lineage: Eukaryota; Metazoa; Arthropoda; Malacostraca; Decapoda; Varunidae. The transcript is spliced from 6 exons. The record is from RefSeq and is a predicted model, not a curated record.
CUCUCUCUCUCUCUCUCUCUCUCUCUCUCUCUCUCUCUCUUUUGUGUGUGUGAGCGGGCGGGAACUUACGCGUUGCCAAUCAGAAUGCUAGAUAUUAUAGCACAUUAUGCUAUAUUGACCCUACUACCAGAAAGGUUGUGGCUCAUCAUGUAGUUAUAUAAAUAUUAUAAUUCUGCUAAAUAAUGAAUUUUUAAAUUGUAAAUCGCAUAAAUAGCCUUUCAUUUGUUCUUAAUUGACCGCAAUUAUGGCUUUAGCAUCAUGCGCUGAAAAUCAGCGCUCUUGACAACACUGAACUGAACAAAACAAAUCCAACAUUUUCCCGCCUAAACUGCCUCACUCGGGACUUCGUGUUGAGCGGCCAACAACAGAUUUCUCCCUGUUUUGUCUCGUUAUUGGGUUUUCCUCUCCCUCUGUUGUGCAUUAAGAGAUAUUGAAGACCCUGCUCGUGGACCAAAGGACAGUGAAAUCACCGCAAACAAGGAUGUAGAAAAGAUCAGUGUGGCUGGAGGGCAGAAAAGAAGAGGAGUGUGUGGUACCAUCUACCUGGAUAGUUGAAGGCAGCCAGAUUUUAUAUUGGCCAUCAAAAGUUGAUGCUCACAAUGCCUUAACUAGUCGAGAAGACCCAGACCCCAAAUCAUGGAGAAAAUUUCCAUUGAUAAAAGUAAAAAUAGCUUCUGACUUUGCCUCAGGGCCAUCUUUACAAGUAACAGUUGCUCCCCCCCCACCACAAAAGGUUGUCCCAUACAACCAUCAACACAAAGGCUUGCCAAGUGCAGCAAGAAAAAAAUCUGAAAAGACAUAAUUCUGACAGAUGUGAAAGUAACCGGCAAAAGAAGAGUAGUUACCAACAGCAAGAUGAAGGCAGUCAGCCUGAUACCCUACACAGCAGUUUGGACCUUCAUGACAACCACAGCCUAAGGAACAGAUCUGACCGACAGACGAGACAUGACAGCAGUGACCAACAAAGCAGACAUGACAGCAGCGAUUGACACAACAGACAUGACAGCAGUGAUUACACAGCAGACAUGACAGCAGUGACCGACACAGCAGACAUGACAGCAGUGACCAACACAGCAGACGUGACAGCAGUGACCAACACAAAAGACAUGACAGUCGUGGCCGAUGCAGCAGACUUGACAGCAGUGACCGACACAACAGACAUGACAGUCAUGACCGACACAACAGACAUGACAGCAGUGACCGACGCAGCAGGCAUGACAGUCAUGACCGACACAACAGACAUGACAGUCGUGACCGACAUGACAGCAGUGACCGACGCAGCAGGCAUGACAGUCGUGACCGACACAACAGACAUGACAACAGUGACCAAAGCAGCAGACAUGACAGCAGUGACCGACAAGGGAGCGAUUGGAUUCAGAAUCUGUCUAGUGAAGACCUUGAUGAUGUUCAACCCUUGAACCAAGGAGAAAACCGUCAAAGUGGAUUUCCUAUGGAUUGGGCAAAAUUCCAGAGGCGAGUCAUUCAUUUGUUGCUGGAUACAAGAUUGUGAAGUGUCAUCACAGACUGUUAUGAAGAAAUUCAGAGAUGUGAGUUUAACAGAAAUACACAUGAUUGCAACACAAUUGUGUAAUGCCCCAAAAAUGAAGUACGGUGUGCAAAAAAAUGUAGCAACAAGAUAUGUGUAUUCUCAAAGCAUGAACAGAAAUUUGUAUUAGUAAUUAAGAGCCACACCUGUAAUAUCAAGGCAUACUGUGUAGAACAGUCCUUGAGUUAGGGCUGAGGAGGUAAAACUAAAAUCUGAAAUCUGACUCCUUUAUUUUGAAAUAACUGCCACAAAAUGGUUGUUGAUAAUGAAACUGGCUUUAUAAUGCUACCAAGAACUCAGCUGGAGUCGGAGUCAUGGUAACUUUACUGCCUCCUGCCUCCUUUCACCCACUAUUGCUGUGACUUGACUGCAGGCCUGCCAUGAAUAACAGCAAAUUGUGAAAAUGAUGAUGUACAGUAUUGUAUUGUGGCUUUUCUUUCUCCUGAUGGAUAUUAAAUUUACAUAGUAUUAUAUUGUAUUGUGGCUUUUCUUUCUCCUGAUGGAUAUUAAAUUUACAUAGUAUUAUAUUAUGUCUCAUUGCAAUACAUACAGCAAUGCUGUAGUGCUUUAUGUUAAUUUUCUGUAUUGAUUAUUUUCUUGUUUAUCAGCAAUGCAUACCCUAUAUUGUUUAAAGAUGUAAAUGUCAUUGUAGGAUGUGUGUAUUUGCAUUCCUAAAAUCCUGUGCUUUGU